CCAAUAGCGUAUAUUAAAGUUGUUGCAGUUAAAAAGCUCGUAGUUGAAUUUCGGAAUUCUUUUAUCGGUUGAAUCAACAGGUUCGUACUGAUUUUAAGAAUUUCUACCUUCUGGAGAACCUUAAUGUCAUUUAUUUGGUGUUUUGGGGAACCAGGACUGUUACCUUGAAAAAAUUAGAGUGUUUAAAGCAGGCUUAUGUCUGAAUAUAUUAGCAUGGAAUAAUGAAAUAGGACGGCAUGGUUCUAUUUUGUUGGUUUCUAGGAUCACCGUAAUGAUUAAUAGGGAUAGUUGGGGGCAUUAGUAUUCAAUUGUCAGAGGUGAAAUUCUUGGAUUUAUUGAAGACUAACUUCUGCGAAAGCAUUUGCCAAGGAUGUUUUCAUUAAUCAAGAACGAAAGUUAGGGGAUCGAAGACGAUCAGAUACCGUCGUAGUCUUAACCAUAAACUAUGCCGACUAGGAAUCGGACGAAGUUAAUUUUUUAAUGACUCGUUCGGCGCCUUACG
This 502-nucleotide unclassified non-coding RNA is filed under the name uncultured Pacispora. RNAcentral describes it as "SSU rRNA". It matches the Rfam family "Eukaryotic small subunit ribosomal RNA", at positions 591 to 1092 of the family's 1831-position model. The record is from RNAcentral. Lineage: Eukaryota; Fungi; Glomeromycota; Glomeromycetes; Diversisporales; Pacisporaceae.